GGGUGAGUAACGCGUGGGUAACCUACCCAUAAAUCAGGGACAACCCUUGGAAACGAGGGCUAAUACCGGAUAAUCUUAAGAGUUGGCAUCAACUUUUAAGGAAAGGUGGCCUCUGAAUAUGCUACCGAUUAUGGAUGGACCCGCGUCUGAUUAGCUAGUUGGUGGGGUAAAGGCCUACCAAGGCGACGAUCAGUAGCCGGCCUGAGAGGGUGAACGGCCACACUGGGACUGAGACACGGCCCAGACUCCUACGGGAGGCAGCAGUGGGGAAUCUUCCGCAAUGGACGAAAGUCUGACGGAGCAACGCCGCGUGUAUGAUGAAGGUCUUCGGAUUGUAAAGUACUGUCUUUGGGGAAGAAUGGCAGGUUUGAGAAUAUGAGCCUGCAUGACGG
RNAcentral lists this ribosomal RNA (392 nucleotides) under uncultured Bacillota bacterium. RNAcentral's name for it is "bacterial SSU rRNA". It matches the Rfam family "Bacterial small subunit ribosomal RNA", at positions 104 to 475 of the family's 1533-position model. Lineage: Bacteria; Bacillati; Bacillota. The record is from RNAcentral.